This is a non-coding RNA of Podarcis lilfordi (Lilford's wall lizard), 74 nucleotides long. Lineage: Eukaryota; Metazoa; Chordata; Lepidosauria; Squamata; Lacertidae. The record is from the annotation of a GenBank genome assembly.
GCCUGGGAUAGCUCAGCUGGUAGAGCCCCAGACUCUUAAUGUCAGGGCCAUGGGUUCAAGCCCCACGUUGGGCA